This 64-nucleotide transfer RNA is filed under the name Holothuria pervicax. RNAcentral's name for it is "tRNA-Cys". The record is from RNAcentral. Lineage: Eukaryota; Metazoa; Echinodermata; Holothuroidea; Aspidochirotida; Holothuriidae.
GGUUCUAUGGUGUUAGAAAACAUAUCUAAUUGCAAACUAGAAGUAGCCUGAAAGGCUAGAACCU